This 315-nucleotide ribosomal RNA is filed under the name uncultured Glomeromycotina. Its description in RNAcentral is "LSU rRNA". Lineage: Eukaryota; Fungi; Glomeromycota. The record is from RNAcentral.
UUGAAAGGGAAACGAUUGAAGCCAGUCAUGCCGGUGGGAAAUCAGCUUCCGGGGUAACCAGGGGGUGCACUUUCUCGCAGGGCAGGUCAGCGUCAGUUUCGCUAGUCGUAAAAAGUCCGUCGGAAUGUGACUCCUUUCGGAGCGUUAUAGCCUCUGGUAGAUGUGGUGGUUGGGAUCGAGGAUUGCAACGAAUACCCUUUGGGCUAUCCGCCUGACCUCUGAAAGUCGCUUGGGUACCGAAAGCUUGCUUAUGGUCAUUCAAGUUGGCGGUCAAAAGGUUAGAACGUGAUUAAAUUCGUUAAGGAUGUUGACGUA